RNAcentral lists this unclassified non-coding RNA (275 nucleotides) under Hevea brasiliensis (rubber tree). The record is from RNAcentral. Lineage: Eukaryota; Viridiplantae; Streptophyta; Magnoliopsida; Malpighiales; Euphorbiaceae.
GUUUGCCGAUCCCAAUAUAUCAGGUUCAUAUGCACAUAAGGAGGAUACUGUUUGUAUUUGCAAGAGGAGAGGUGGAAGUGAUAGCAGAGGCCUGAUGCAUAAUCAGUGGUUACAAAGUGUUGAUCAGGAGCCUGAUGUGAUCUCAAUGUCCUUCAUUCCUAUAACUUCACUGUUGAAUGGCAUCUCAGGAAGUGGAUUUUUAAGUCAUGCUAUAAAUUUGUACUUACGCUAUAAACCACCAAUUGAAGAGCUUCACCAGUUUUUGGAAUUUCAGC